GAUGAACGCUAGCGGCAGGCCUAAUACAUGCAAGUCGAGGGGCAGCACGGGUAGCAAUACUUGGUGGCGACCGGCGCACGGGUGCGUAACGCGUAUGCAAUCUACCUAUUACUGGAGAAUAGCCUUCCGAAAGGGAGAUUAAUGCUCCAUAACAUUGCGGUUUGGCAUCAGACUGCAAUUAAAGCUCCGGCGGUAAUAGAUGAGCAUGCGUGACAUUAGCUAGUUGGUGAGGUAAUGGCUCACCAAGGCUACGAUGUCUAGGGGCUCUGAGAGGAUUGUCCCCCACACUGGUACUGAGACACGGACCAGACUCCUACGGGAGCAGCAGUAAGGAAUAUUGGACAAUGGUCGCAAGACUGAUCCAGCCAUGCCGCGUGAAGGAUGACGGCCCUAUGGGUUGUAAACUUCUUUUGUAUGGGAAGAAACCUCCGAACGUGUUCGGAGCUGACGGUACCAUAAGAAUAAGGAUCGGCUAACUCCG
This 481-nucleotide ribosomal RNA is filed under the name uncultured bacterium. RNAcentral's name for it is "bacterial SSU rRNA". It matches the Rfam family "Bacterial small subunit ribosomal RNA", at positions 28 to 505 of the family's 1533-position model. The record is from RNAcentral.